GCCGCCGUGGUGGAACAGGUAGACACCCGGGACUUAAAAUCCCGUUCCGGCAACGGAGUACCGGUUCAAGUCCGGUCGGCGGCACCA
RNAcentral lists this transfer RNA (87 nucleotides) under Oscillospiraceae bacterium OttesenSCG-928-F05. Its description in RNAcentral is "tRNA-Leu". It matches the Rfam family "tRNA". Rfam says of the family: Transfer RNA (tRNA) molecules are approximately 80 nucleotides in length. Their secondary structure includes four short double-helical elements and three loops (D, anti-codon, and T loops). The record is from RNAcentral. Lineage: Bacteria; Bacillati; Bacillota; Clostridia; Eubacteriales; Oscillospiraceae.